RNAcentral lists this ribosomal RNA (253 nucleotides) under uncultured bacterium. Its description in RNAcentral is "partial 16S ribosomal RNA". It matches the Rfam family "Bacterial small subunit ribosomal RNA", at positions 524 to 776 of the family's 1533-position model. The record is from RNAcentral.
UACGUAGGGAGCAAGCGUUGUCCGGAAUCAUUGGGCGUAAAGCGCGCGUAGGUGGCCUCAUAAGUCCGCUGUGAAAGUCAAAGGCUCAACCUUUGAAAGCCGGUGGAUACUGUGGGGCUAGAGUACGGAAGAGGCGAGUGGAAUUCCUGGUGUAGCGGUGGAAUGCGCAGAUAUCAGGAGGAACACCAAUAGCGAAGGCAGCUCGCUGGGACGUUACUGACACUGAGGAGCGAAAGCGUGGGGAGCGAACAGG